RNAcentral lists this ribosomal RNA (253 nucleotides) under uncultured bacterium. RNAcentral's name for it is "partial 16S ribosomal RNA". It matches the Rfam family "Bacterial small subunit ribosomal RNA", at positions 524 to 776 of the family's 1533-position model. The record is from RNAcentral.
GACGUAGGGCGCGAGCGUUGUCCGGAUUUAUUGGGCGUAAAGAGCUCGUAGGCGGCUUGUUGCGUCGACUGUGAAAACCCGCGGCUUAACUGCGGGCUUGCAGUUGAUACGGGCAGGCUAGAGUUCGGUAGGGGAGACUGGAAUUCCUGGUGUAGCGGUGAAAUGCGCAGAUAUCAGGAGGAACACCGAUGGCGAAGGCAGCUCGCUGGGACGGUACUGACGCUGAGACGCGAAAGCGUGGGGAGCGAACAGG